AUUGAACGCUGGCGGCAUGCUUUACACACGCAAGUCGAACGGCAGCGCGGGCUUCGGCCUGGCGGCGAGUGGCGAACGGGUGAGUAAUGCAUCGGUACGUGCCCAGUAGUGGGGGAUAGCCCGGCGAAAGCCGGAUUAAUACCGCAUACGACCUGAGGGUGAAAGCGGGGGACCGAAAGGCCUCGCGCUAUUGGAGCGGCCGAUGUCGGAUUAGCUAGUUGGUGGGGUAAAGGCUUACCAAGGCGACGAUCCGUAGCUGGUCUGAGAGGACGACCAGCCACACUGGGACUGAGACACGGCCCAGACUCCUACGGGAGGCAGCAGUGGGGAAUUUUGGACAAUGGGGGCAACCCUGAUCCAGCCAUGCCGCGUGCGGGAAGAAGGCCUUCGGGUUGUAAACCGCUUUUGUUCGGGAAGAAAUCCUCUGGGCUAAUACCCCGGGGGGAUGACGGUACCGGAAGAAUAAGCACCGGCUAACUACGUG
RNAcentral lists this ribosomal RNA (484 nucleotides) under uncultured bacterium. RNAcentral's name for it is "partial 16S ribosomal RNA". It matches the Rfam family "Bacterial small subunit ribosomal RNA", at positions 28 to 507 of the family's 1533-position model. The record is from RNAcentral.